AACGAACGCUGGCGGCAUGCCUAAUACAUGCAAGUCGAACGAGAUCUUCGGAUCUAGUGGCGCACAGGUGCGUAACGCGUGGGAAUCUGCCCUUGGGUUCGGAAUAACUUCUGGAAACGGAAGCUAAUACCGGAUGAUGACGUAAGUCCAAAGAUUUAUCGCCCAAGGAUGAGCCCGCGUAGGAUUAGGUAGUUGGUGAGGUAAAGGCUCACCAAGCCGACGAUCCUUAGCUGGUCUGAGAGGAUGAUCAGCCACACUGGGACUGAGACACGGCCCAGACUCCUACGGGAGGCAGCAGUAGGGAAUAUUGGACAAUGGGCGAAAGCCUGAUCCAGCAAUGCCGCGUGAGUGAUGAAGGCCUUAGGGUUGUAAAGCUCUUUUACCCGGGAUGAUAAUGACAGUACCGGGAGAAUAAGCUCCGGCUAACUCCGUG
This 433-nucleotide ribosomal RNA is filed under the name uncultured bacterium. Its description in RNAcentral is "partial 16S ribosomal RNA". It matches the Rfam family "Bacterial small subunit ribosomal RNA", at positions 29 to 507 of the family's 1533-position model. The record is from RNAcentral.